GCCCACGUGGUGGAACGGUAGACACCGCAGACUUAAAAUUUGCUGCCUUCGGGCGUGCCGGUUCAAGUCCGGCCGUGGGUACUA
RNAcentral lists this transfer RNA (84 nucleotides) under Acidimicrobiia bacterium. RNAcentral describes it as "tRNA-Leu". It matches the Rfam family "tRNA". Rfam says of the family: Transfer RNA (tRNA) molecules are approximately 80 nucleotides in length. Their secondary structure includes four short double-helical elements and three loops (D, anti-codon, and T loops). The record is from RNAcentral. Lineage: Bacteria; Bacillati; Actinomycetota; Acidimicrobiia.